This 292-nucleotide ribosomal RNA is filed under the name uncultured bacterium. RNAcentral describes it as "partial 16S ribosomal RNA". It matches the Rfam family "Bacterial small subunit ribosomal RNA", at positions 505 to 796 of the family's 1533-position model. The record is from RNAcentral.
GUGCCAGCAGCCGCGGUAAUACGAGAGGCCCAAACGUUAUUCGGAUUUACUGGGCUUAAAGAGUUCGUAGGCGGUCUAGCAAGUGAGGUGUGAAAUCCCUUGGCUCAACCAAGGAAUUGCGCUUCAAACUGCUAGGCUCGAGGGAGAUAGAGGUGAGCAGAACUGAUGGUGGAGCGGUGAAAUGCGUUGAUAUCAUCAGGAAUACCAGAGGCGAAGGCGGCUCACUGGGUCUCUUCUGACGCUGAGGAACGAAAGCUAGGGGAGCAAACGGGAUUAGAAACCCGCGUAGUCC